UGGGGAUCUUGCACAAUGGAGGAACUCUGAUGCAGCGAUGCCGCGUGAGUGAAGAAGGCCUUUGGGUUGUAAAGCUCUUUCGUCGGGGAAGAAAAUGACUGUACCCGAAUAAGAAGGUCCGGCUAACUUCGUGCCAGCAGCCGCGGUAAUACGAAGGGACCUAGCGUAGUUCGGAAUUACUGGGCUUAAAGAGUUCGUAGGUGGUUGAAAAAGUUGGUGGUGAAAUCCCAGAGCUUAACUCUGGAACUGCCAUCAAAACUUUUCAGCUAGAGUUUGAUAGAGGAAAGCAGAAUUUCUAGUGUAGAGGUGAAAUUCGUAGAUAUUAGAAAGAAUACCAAUUGCGAAGGCAGCUUUCUGGAUCAUUACUGACACUGAGGAACGAAAGCAUGGGUAGCGAAGAGGAUUAGAUACCCUCGUAGUCCAUGCCGUAAACGAUGUGUGUUAGACGUUGGAAAUUUAUUUUCAGUGUCGCAGCGAAAGCGAUAAACACACCGCCUGGGGAGUACGACCGCAAGGUUAAAACUCAAAUGAAUUGACGGGGACCCGCACAAGUAGUGGAGCAUGUGGUUUAAUUCGAAGAUACGCGCAGAACCUUACCAACACUUGACAUGUUCGUCGCGACUUUAAGAGAUUAAAGUUUUCGGUUCGGCCGGACGAAACACAGGUGCUGCAUGGCUGUCGUCAGCUCGUGUCGUGAGAUGUUGGGUUAAGUCCCGCAACGAGCGCAACCCUCACUUUUAGUUGCCAUCAUUUAGUUGGGCACUCUGAAAGAACUGCCAGUGAUAAGCUGGAGGAAGGUGGGGAUGACGUCAAGUCCUCAUGGCCCUUACGUGUUGGGCUACACACGUGCUACAAUGGUAUCUACAACAGGAAGCAAGACGGCGACGUUAAGCAAAUCCUCAAAAGAUACCUCAGUUCGGAUUGCACUCUGCAACUCGAGUGCAUGAAGCUGGAAUUACUAGUAAUCGUGGAUCAGCGUGCCACGGUGAAUGCGUUCCCGGGUCUUGUACACACCGCCCGUCACACCAUGGGAGUUGGUUCUACCUUAAGGCAAGGUUUUAUACCCUUGACCACGGUAUAGUCAGCGACUGGGGUGAAGUCGUAACAAGGUAGCCGUAGGGGAACCUGCGGCUG
RNAcentral lists this ribosomal RNA (1134 nucleotides) under marine metagenome. Its description in RNAcentral is "bacterial SSU rRNA". It matches the Rfam family "Bacterial small subunit ribosomal RNA", at positions 356 to 1520 of the family's 1533-position model. The record is from RNAcentral.